This 305-nucleotide ribosomal RNA is filed under the name uncultured bacterium. RNAcentral describes it as "bacterial SSU rRNA". It matches the Rfam family "Bacterial small subunit ribosomal RNA", at positions 335 to 657 of the family's 1533-position model. The record is from RNAcentral.
GGGCCUACGAGACGCAGCAGUGGGGAAUAUUGCACAAUGGGGGAAACCCUGAUGCAGCAACGCCGCGUGAGUGAAGAAGUAUUUCGGUAUGUAAAGCUCUAUCAGCAGGGAAGAAGAUGACGGUACCUGAUUAAGAAGCCCCGGCUAACUACGUGCCAGCAGCCGCGGUAAUACGUAGGGGGCAAGCGUUAUCCGGAUUUACUGGGUGUAAAGGGAGCGCAGACGGCAGCGCAAGUCUGGAGUGAAAGCCCGGGGCCCAACCCCGGACCUGCUCUGGACACUGUGCGGCUAGAGUACUGGCGGGG